Molecule: ribosomal RNA, 247 nt
Filed under: uncultured bacterium
Lineage: Bacteria
Description: partial 16S ribosomal RNA
Rfam family: Bacterial small subunit ribosomal RNA
Source: RNAcentral
AGAGAAGCAAGACUGUGAAGAGGAGCCAAACUCAAAAACCGGUCCCAGUUCGGAUUGUAGGCUGCAACUCGCCUACAUGAAGUCGGAGUUGCUAGUAAUCGCGGAUCAGAAUGCCGCGGUGAAUGCGUUCCCGGGUCUUGUACACACCGCCCGUCACACCAUGGAAGUUGGGGACGCCCGAAGUUGGUCGGGAAAUAGAUUACCUAAGGCGAAACCAAUGACUGGGGUGAAGUCGUAACAAGGUAAC